UACGUAGGGACCGAGCGUUGUCCGGAAUCAUUGGGCGUAAAGAGCGUGUAGGCGGCCACUUAAGUCCUGCGUGAAAUCUUGCGGCUCAACCGCAAGCGGUCGUGGGAAACUGGGUGGCUAGAGUGCGGGAGAGGAGAGUGGAAUUCCUGGUGUAGCGGUGGAAUGCGCAGAUAUCAGGAGGAACACCGAUGGCGAAGGCAGGUCUCUGGGCAUUAACUGACGCUGAGGAGCGAAAGCAUGGGGAGCGAACAGG
This 253-nucleotide ribosomal RNA is filed under the name uncultured bacterium. Its description in RNAcentral is "partial 16S ribosomal RNA". It matches the Rfam family "Bacterial small subunit ribosomal RNA", at positions 524 to 776 of the family's 1533-position model. The record is from RNAcentral.